RNAcentral lists this RNase P RNA (358 nucleotides) under bacterium. Its description in RNAcentral is "RNase P RNA component class A". It matches the Rfam family "Bacterial RNase P class A". Rfam says of the family: Ribonuclease P (RNase P) is a ubiquitous endoribonuclease, found in archaea, bacteria and eukarya as well as chloroplasts and mitochondria. Its best characterised activity is the generation of mature 5'-ends of tRNAs by cleaving the 5'-leader elements of precursor-tRNAs. Cellular RNase Ps are ribonucleoproteins. The record is from RNAcentral.
CGAGUUCGCCAGACGGCCGCGGUUGCCAAGUCAAUCGAGGAAAGUCCGGACUCCACAGGACAGGGAGCUGGGUAACGCCCAGGCGGGGUGACCCGACGGAAAGUGCCACAGAAACCAGACCGCCGAUGGCCGCAGGGCACAGGCAAGGGUGAAACGGUGGUGUAAGAGACCACCAGCAUCCCGGGAGACCGGGGUGGCUGGUAAACCCCUCCCGGAGCAAGGUCAAGCAGAGGCGCCGGUGGUCCGCCGAUCAAGCCUCGGGUGGACCGCAACGAGGUCUGGCGGUAACGCAGAUCCCAGAUGGAUGGCCGUCGCCCGUCAAGGCGUACAGAAUCCGGCUUACCGGCGGACUCGCCCC